GGCUGGAUAGCUCAGUUGGUAGAGCAGCGGACUGAAAAUCCGCGUGUCCCCAGUUCGAACCUGGGUCCAGCCACCA
RNAcentral lists this transfer RNA (76 nucleotides) under Pedosphaera sp. RNAcentral describes it as "tRNA-Phe". It matches the Rfam family "tRNA". Rfam says of the family: Transfer RNA (tRNA) molecules are approximately 80 nucleotides in length. Their secondary structure includes four short double-helical elements and three loops (D, anti-codon, and T loops). RNAcentral also lists the same sequence under 3 other names. The record is from RNAcentral. Lineage: Bacteria; Pseudomonadati; Verrucomicrobiota; Pedosphaerae; Pedosphaerales; Pedosphaeraceae.